Molecule: long non-coding RNA, 692 nt
Organism: Apis florea (little honeybee)
Lineage: Eukaryota; Metazoa; Arthropoda; Insecta; Hymenoptera; Apidae
Source: RefSeq, a predicted model, not a curated record
GUUUAAACGAAUAGUUCUUCCAUCCGAUGCAAUUGUCAUAUUACGUAUCUAUUCCAAAAUGUCGCGAUGAAUACCCGCUACAUUCUAAAAAAACGUUAACAAAGAUAUCACUGAUCACCGUACACCGAUAAUGGCUACGAUAGAUCCUUGACCAGACGAAGAAAACACAUGAACACAUAAGCACUAUGAAAGGAACAAUGGCGAUAGUCAAUAUAAAGUAACGAAUGAAGAGGGCUCUGAUGAUGCAAUAAAGAAAAUACUUGAUUUGCUGAACAUGAAAGGAAAAACAGAAAGCAAUCUAUAAUCGACCUAAAAUUGUCUCAAAGAUGUCGACAUCGUCGCAUACUUCUCAGCUACUUUAGCAAUUUCUUGAGCUUGAAUACCAACAAUAUUGCCUACUGCCGUUACGCUUAAACGAGCCUAUAUAAAUAAAAUAUUACAUAAAGACAUAAUUAAUAUUAUUUAAUUAAUAUCAAUUAUAAUAAUAUAAUUGCUUACUGAAUUUUCUUCAAUAACAGCUAAAUUUCCAGCUAAUUGUUCUGUAUUUUCCUAUAAAGAAAAACAUUGAAAAAAUCAUAAAUUUUAUCUAUUUACAUAAUUUAUUUACUUUUUCCUUUAAUUUUUCUUUAUUUUCAUCUUCUUUAAAAUCACUUGAAAUAGUUUCAGUUGGCGAAGUAGUAAUUUUUAUAGAA